UUUGGGCGAGCUAAUUAUAUUAUAUUUGUAGAUUAACAACGUGUCACAAAACGCUUUUAAAAAAUAAUUAGGGGUGAUAGGCUUGUCACGCUCAAAGAUAACUUGAUAACCUUGAAAAGUAAUAGUACUAAGAUAACUUUAAAAUGAUUAGGUUUUAAAGAUGAUCAAAAUUUUUAAAACUAUAUGGUAAAAUGUGUAAAUAUUAUUGCUUUAAUAAUUUAUUAUUUUUUUAAGUUAGAUUGAUUUCAUUAGGGGUUUAUUAUAAAAUUGAAAUUAUUAAUCAACAAUGUUAAAAUUAGUAAUAUUAUAAAUGUAUUUUAUGAACUCGGCAAUAUAACUUUUAACUGUUUAUCAAAAACAUAGCCGAAAGUCAGUAUUUUUGGUGAUUUCUGCUCAAUGAAUUUUAAAUAGCCGCAGUACUUUGACUGUGCUAAGGUAGCGCAAUCAAUUGACUUUUAAUUGGAGUCCUGUAUGAAAGAAUUUAUGAAGGUUAACUAUAUUAAUUAUAUUUUAUGAAUUUAUUUAUCAGGUGCAAAUACCUGUAAUAAAAUAAUAGACGAGAAGACCCUAGAAAUUUUUAAGAAAUUACUUUUUGUUGGGGCAACAAAGUAGCAUUUAAUCUACUGUUAAUAACACGCAAAUCUUAUUUGGCAAGAUGAAAUUACUCUAGGGAUAACAGCAUAAUUUAUUAAAGUUUGUGACCUCGAUGUUGGAUUAGGGAAAUAACGUUUAGAAG
RNAcentral lists this ribosomal RNA (736 nucleotides) under Austrochloritis toonumbar. RNAcentral describes it as "partial large subunit ribosomal RNA". The stretch from base 339 to 490 matches the Rfam family "Archaeal large subunit ribosomal RNA", at positions 1886 to 2087 of the family's 2987-position model. Lineage: Eukaryota; Metazoa; Mollusca; Gastropoda; Stylommatophora; Camaenidae. The record is from RNAcentral.